GUCCACGCCGUAAACGAUGUCUACUAGUUGUCCGGAGUCUUGUAUUCUGGGUAACGCAGCUAACGCGAUAAGUAGACCGCCUGGGGAGUACGGCCGCAAGGUUAAAACUCAAAUGAAUUGACGGGGGCCCGCACAAGCGGUGGAGCAUGUGGUUUAAUUCGAAGCAACGCGAAGAACCUUACCCGGCCUUGACAUCCUGCGAACUUUCUAGAGAUAGAUUGGUGCCUUCGGGAGCGCAGUGACAGGUGCUGCAUGGCU
RNAcentral lists this ribosomal RNA (258 nucleotides) under uncultured bacterium. RNAcentral describes it as "partial 16S ribosomal RNA". It matches the Rfam family "Bacterial small subunit ribosomal RNA", at positions 793 to 1050 of the family's 1533-position model. The record is from RNAcentral.